Molecule: long non-coding RNA, 1853 nt
Filed under: Corvus moneduloides (New Caledonian crow)
Lineage: Eukaryota; Metazoa; Chordata; Aves; Passeriformes; Corvidae
Description: lncRNA (ENSCMUG00000018878.1)
Source: RNAcentral
GUAAUUUUACUUACAUUAAUGUUAAGUGUUUGUGAGAAAUUACAAGGCAAUGCUUGUAGCGAUGGUCUUUCUUCUUAAAACAAUGUCAGUUAUCUGGCAAAUAACCCACAUGAGAGAUGGCUUUUAAAUCACCCUUCUUAAACACAAGAUAACAUUAAAAAGUGUCUCUCAUAGCUGCUUAAACCGUAGCUUGCUCAUAUCUGAGCUACAGUAUAUUUUAUUUAAAGGACAUAGAACCACCUUAUUAACGACUGCUGCCAGUUUGAAGACUAUGUUUAUGCUGAAAGAUGGAGAGGAUGAGCACAAGCUCUUUUGUCUUCGUCAGGCACUGGGACAGGCCUGCAAUAUUCUUUGAUUGGAAGGCAGAAAAUUCCCAGAUUCACUUCUUCUCAUGGCACAGAUAAGCACUUCAAAGCUUCCGCACUGCAGGGCUUAGUGGGGGAUGUAUUUAAACCUUCUGUUUCUUUGCAGGUGCAGUAACUAAACAGCAACUCUAUUACCUACUUUCUUCUGUAAAUAGGAUGGGAAGAAAAGUGUGUGUGGAAGGUUGCAGUAAACAGCAUGAUGUAGUCACUUGUACUCACUGGGCUGCAAACCAGGCUGGAGUGACUCACACUUCCAUGUUAGGAUGUUGAGUGAGAGCCUAGAUUGCUAUAAAGUAAUAACAAUGCAAUUGCUUCUUUCUAAAAGUUAGGAAGCUUUUUCUAAGAAGACCUUACAAAAGCUGUCACUAUCCUCUGAAUCAGGUAUUUCAAAUCAAAGGAAAGUAAACCAAGACAGAACAGAUGCUUGAAAUACAGAAUAAUCUUCAGUGUGUAUCCCAAAGAUAAGAGUGAGGAAUCUCAAAGCUACGUUUCUGCAACAAGAAUGCCAAGUAAAAAAAGAGUGCUUGUCCCUCAGCGAGCUCACAUCACUGCCAUGCCACAAGGAGAAGCAAAACUGAAGAAAUUAUAUCCCGUGGAGCACAAAGAUUUCCCACCAUCCUACAGGUAUUUUAACAGAACAAACUCAAUCAAAUGCUCCAUUCACUUCUUAUGAACAGCUAUAUAUUAGCUGUCUUGUUGGAAAAUGUUGUUCAAAUGUUUCAACUGUUGGCACCAAUUUCCAGAAUUUAAAAAAUUCAGCCUUCUGAUGAUGUUGCAAAAGCUCACACUUUCCUUAGAGGAACCUAGGUUUAAAUAGACAUCAGUAACAGAGCAAUUGUCAGCACUUAGGUAUUGACAUAGCUCUGUUUCCACUGAAGUUAGAUCACUAAUUCUUUUAAAAAUUCCAUCCAGUAUAGCCUCUCUUUCAAACUCCGUUUUAUGCGGGAUGAGGCAUAACACUUUGUUGAUUGUAAACUAAAUGUGCUCUUUCUCCCUGUGUACUGACUAACCAUGCAGAAAUUCUUUGUUUUAGAAUUUAAAAUUACAAUCCAGACUGUUUGGAAAUGUGUAAAAUGCAAAGCUCUAGCAUAUGGUGAAAAACACACAGCUGCAUUUAUACACUAAAUAAAGAUCUUGUUUUUACUUCAGUUUUACCACCAGAUGCAGGUACAAACAGAAUGAAUCUGUUGAAGUCAGUGACAUUAUGUAGCAGUUACACUGGGGAAUGGUCAGAAUCAGGAGCUUUUUUAUUUUGUCCAGCUCUUAGCCUGUUUGUGAGAUGUUGUAACACAGGUACUAAGGGAAGGAGCUAGGAUCACUGUGAAAAUUAAAGUGUCAUCUUUUAUUCUGUGUGGAAGGGUCUGCAUUAUUAAUUUGAAUAUUCACUGCUAUCUGUGAUACUCCAGUGCAUUAUUUUAGAUCACAAUCUGCCCGAGCUCUCUGGAAUUUGCUUUCAGGUGUUUGUAUUUCUGUGCCACUUGAAACAAU